This 912-nucleotide ribosomal RNA is filed under the name Epicoccum tritici. RNAcentral's name for it is "partial 28S ribosomal RNA". It matches the Rfam family "Eukaryotic large subunit ribosomal RNA", at positions 33 to 967 of the family's 3401-position model. The record is from RNAcentral. Lineage: Eukaryota; Fungi; Ascomycota; Dothideomycetes; Pleosporales; Didymellaceae.
AAUACAUAUCAAUAAGCGGAGGAAAAGAAACCAACAGGGAUUGCCCUAGUAACGGCGAGUGAAGCGGCAACAGCUCAAAUUUGAAAUCUGGCGUCUUUGGCGUCCGAGUUGUAAUUUGCAGAGGGCGCUUUGGCAUUGGCAGCGGUCCAAGUUCCUUGGAACAGGACGUCACAGAGGGUGAGAAUCCCGUACGUGGUCGCUAGCCUUUACCGUGUAAAGCCCCUUCGACGAGUCGAGUUGUUUGGGAAUGCAGCUCUAAAUGGGAGGUAAAUUUCUUCUAAAGCUAAAUACUGGCCAGAGACCGAUAGCGCACAAGUAGAGUGAUCGAAAGAUGAAAAGCACUUUGGAAAGAGAGUUAAAAAGCACGUGAAAUUGUUGAAAGGGAAGCGCUUGCAGCCAGACUUGCCUGUAGUUGCUCAUCCGGGUUUUUACCCGGUGCACUCUUCUACGGGCAGGCCAGCAUCAGUUUGGGCGGUUGGAUAAAGGUCUCUGUCAUGUACCUCCUCUCGGGGAGAUCUUAUAGGGGAGACGACAUGCAACCAGCCUGGACUGAGGUCCGCGCAUCUGCUAGGAUGCUGGCGUAAUGGCUGUAAGCGGCCCGUCUUGAAACACGGACCAAGGAGUCUAACAUCUAUGCGAGUGUUUGGGUGUCAAGCCCGAACGCGUAAUGAAAGUGAACGGAGGUGGGAACCUUUCGGGGUGCACCAUCGACCGAUCCUGAUGUCUUCGGAUGGAUUUGAGUAAGAGCAUAGCUGUUGGGACCCGAAAGAUGGUGAACUAUGCUUGAAUAGGGUGAAGCCAGAGGAAACUCUGGUGGAGGCUCGCAGCGGUUCUGACGUGCAAAUCGAUCGUCAAAUUUGGGCAUAGGGGCGAAAGACUAAUCGAACUAUCUAGUAGCUGGUUCCUGCGAGU